Molecule: ribosomal RNA, 406 nt
Filed under: uncultured bacterium
Lineage: Bacteria
Description: partial 16S ribosomal RNA
Rfam family: Bacterial small subunit ribosomal RNA
Source: RNAcentral
AUUGAACGCUGGCGGCAGGCUUAACACAUGCAAGUCGAGCGAGCGGCGGACGGGUGAGUAAUGCCUGGGAAACUGCCUGAUGGAGGGGGAUAACUACUGGAAACGGUAGCUAAUACCGCAUACCAUCAGAUGUGCCCAGAUGGGAUUAGCUAUUAGGUGGGGUAAUGGCUAACCUAGGCGACGAUCCCUAGCUGGUCUGAGAGGAUGACCAUCCCCACUGGAAUGGAUACACGGUCCAGACUCCUACGUGAGGAAGCAGUGGGGAAUAUUGCACAAUGGGCGCAAGCCUGAUGCAGCCAUGCCGCGUGUUUGAAGAAGGCCUUCGGGUUGUAAAGCACUUUCAGCGAGGAGGCGUUACUCGCAGAAGAAGCACCGGCUAACUCCGUGCCAGCAGCCGCGGUAAUAC